This 407-nucleotide ribosomal RNA is filed under the name uncultured bacterium. Its description in RNAcentral is "partial 16S ribosomal RNA". It matches the Rfam family "Bacterial small subunit ribosomal RNA", at positions 28 to 526 of the family's 1533-position model. The record is from RNAcentral.
GACGAACGCUGGCGGCGUGCCUAAUACAUGCAAGUAGGACGCAGUUGCGAACGGGGGAGUAACGCGUAUGUAACUACCUAUUAGAGGGGGAUAACUAUUGGAAACGCUAGCUAAUACCGCAUACUAGUAGAUGGACCUGCGUUGUAUUAGCUAGUAGGUUGGGGAAAGGCCUACCUAGGCAACGAUACAUCGCCGACCUGGGGGGGUGGUGCGGCAAAACUGGGCUGAGAAACCGGCCAGAACCCGUCGGGGGGCAGCAGUAGGGAAACUUCGGCAAUUGGGGGAACCCUGGCCGAGGAAAGGCGCGGGGGUGAAAGAGGGUUUCGGGUCGGAAAGCUCUGUUGUUAAGGAAGCGGUACUUAACCAGAAAGGGACGGCUAACUACGUGCCAGCAGCCGCGGUAAUUC